RNAcentral lists this ribosomal RNA (139 nucleotides) under Kluyveromyces lactis. RNAcentral's name for it is "partial 28S ribosomal RNA". It matches the Rfam family "Eukaryotic large subunit ribosomal RNA", at positions 1 to 137 of the family's 3401-position model. The record is from RNAcentral. Lineage: Eukaryota; Fungi; Ascomycota; Saccharomycetes; Saccharomycetales; Saccharomycetaceae.
AGUUGACUCAAAUCAGGUAGGAAUACCCGCUGAACUUAAGCAUAUCAAUAAGCGGAGGAAAAGAAACCAACCGGGAUUGCCUUAGUAACGGCGAGUGAAGCGGCAAAAGCUCAAAUUUGAAAUCUGGCGUCUUCGACGU